UGUCCCAAAGAGUUGACAAUGUAAAGUAUAGUCUAAGCCAAUGGUUUUCAAAAUGUGUUCUAUAGAGCUGUUCCACAAUAGAUCAUCAGAAGCUCUGCAAAGAAAUUGAGGGCAAUAACAAAGCAGGCUGGGAAGCCAUGUGCAACCAUUGCCAGGCUGUGUCACCUUGGCCCCAUGUCAGCUUGCACAGCCGGAAGAGCCCAGGCAUAUGGGUUCCACAGCAGAAGUGAUAUUAAAGGGUUCUGUUGUUGCCCUGUGGGGUCAGGCCAACUCUCAGGAUCUCAAUAUUGCACGGUUAGACAGGAGGGCGUGGUGUACAAUUGCACAUGCACACACUAAAAAAUCAAUUAGGUGCACACACAUACUCUAGAUGCAUGUACCCCCACCAGAUAUACACACACACACACUACCAAUUCAGGCACAUACACAUCCAAAAUUACCAGCCUAGGCACAUGUACACCUAUCACCAAGUCAAGCACCUACACACACUAUACAGACCAAAAGACAUUAGACCAGGAUCAAUUACCAAUACCUGCACAUCCAGUACACAUACAUGGAUCACUAAUUUGUAUAUCAUGCACACAAUGGCAUACAUGUAUAUUGGUUCACAUACAUACCACUCACCUACACACAUACACACACACAGGUGAGUUCCUAACUUGGGUGUUGUGGUGUAUAUGUAUGUGUACUUGGGAUACCUGGGGGAAGGUUAAAGUAAGAGAGAGAGAGUGAAAGUGUAGGGGGUGAAAGUUGCUGGGACUGGGAUUAGAACUGGUAGACUAGAAAGAGACAUGGGCUGACAAGCUGAGGCUUGGGGUUACUUUAGGUUACUGCUGGUGGAAACUGAGAUGAAAGUUGCCAGUGCUGGGAUUAGAACCAGCAGACUGGAGGGAAGUUGGGGUAACUUAAGGUUAAUUGGUGUUAAUUGAAAGCAGAAAGCUGGCAGAGCGAAGGAGCAAUGAUGGGGAGAAGCCCGGAGGCUGGAGCUGGAGCAAGGAGGCUACAGGGGAGCCAAGAGGUGGUGUGAUGUGGAAUGAUAGUCCAGCUGAGACAUAAAUGAGGAACCUAAAGGUGUAUGGAAAGGCGGGCAAGCAAGAUGGUUAAUGUUUCUGCCAAUGCUGUAAAUUAAUGACACUGUCAUGGUUUUUGGACUGUGAGUUUUGUAGCAUUUGAGAAUCUUGUCAUUUAAGAAGAAAAAGGUUCACUGCCAGUUCAUAGAUCAGUUGUGUUUAAUUUAGACACUAUAUAUUUUUUCUGACGCAUUCUAAUUAGACACAUUCUAAUUGGCACUCCAAUUAAAGUGUUCCACAAGCCUCACUGUCUUGUGUAUUCAGUGUCCCAUUGCCAUUUUAAAGUGCAGGACACUGAAUACAUGUGAUGCUGCGGUGUUUUAAUUAGAGCAGCUCUCCAGUGAGCUGUCAGUGGGCUGAGUGCCUCCUGAGUUGUGAGGGGGUCUUGAUCCUUCCCUCUGUGGCAAUGGUGCCCCCUGGGGCUUCCUGGGUGGGAAGCUAGUUUCCCAGGGUCUUCCCUAGCUUUGCAGGAAUCAUCUGGCCAGAUCUAACACUUCCCCAAGCCCACCAGGGCCUCCAGCACCCUGUGCACUGUCUCUGCAACUUUUCUGCUGCCUGGAACCAUGCAGGAACAGGCUGGCUUGCUCCUGGGGCAAUGUGGGGAGGUGGCAGGAGGACAGGUGUGUGUGCUGGCAGCAGGGACAGUGCAUGGGGCAUUGGAAACCUGGGCAGGCUCAGAGAAACUUGGGCUUGGUGGGCUUCCAGCACCCUGUACACCAUCCCUGCUGCCUCCUCCAGCCACCAGCACACCCAGCCACCCUCCUGCCACUUCCCUGUGCUGCCUCAAGGGCAAGCCAGCCCAUUCCCAGGCAGUCCCAGGCAGCGGAAAGAUGGCAGGGACAGUGCACAGGGCUCUGGAAGCCCUGGUAGGCUCAGGUAGGAGUUGGAUCUGCUGGGUGCUGCCUCCAAGCUGCAACAGUUCCAGUCUACUAGCAGCCCCAUUCAGGUGGCCCUGGGGGGUGCCACUGCCAUGGAGGGAAGGACUGGGGCCUCCUGCAGCUCAGGAGCUGCUCGACCGGCCAGCAGAUCUCCCCUGGACUAUGGGAGAGGCAGGCAGGCUCUGCCAGGAAGAAAAGAAAAAGGAUUGGGCCCCUUAGCAGUUCUAUAGCGAGGGGCCUGAUCCUUUUUUCUGUGGAGCCUGCCUACCUCUCCUGCAGCUGGAGGGGGGAGGGGGUGGGCAUGAACUGACAGCUGCAUUAUUGCAAUUUGCAACAUUGCAAAUGAAACUACAUCCAGAUGUAGUUUAGUUUGCAACAAUGCAAAGUCAUUUAAAACCACCAGAACUGGCACACUAUAUUGAGUGAUGCCAUUCAAGCCAGAUAAAUUAUAUUUUCAUCAUGUGCACAUUGUGAUGACCAUCACAUGUACAAGCGUCCAGAGAUAAUAAAAAUCAGCAAACGCUUAGUAGAUGCCAGCAAGAGAAGUUGGUGAAUUUUGUCUUUGUUGCUAUAGCAACAUAGUUAACACUAAAAUCAAUGUGCUGAAAGAGAGCUGCAUUAAAUUGUUUUUCCCUUUCUCCCCUGGUUCAUGCUUACAAAGCAAUAUACUAUCUGCCAAGGUGUAAAGAAACCAAUUUUUAUUUCUUGUUUAUUACCUCACAAGUUGAGAAUUUGUUUGGAAAAGGUUGAGGCCAAAAAUGUCACUUAGUAGGCAGCAACUAAAAUAAAUUUCAGUGUGCUACCCAAAGAGUGGCAGUGAGAAUUGGAAAAGGAUUGAGAGAGUUUAUGUAUUUAACUAUCUGAAUCAGGUUUUAAAGACCUAAUACAAAAUUGAAAAAUGCUAUAAGAGAAUAUAGUAAAAAUGUAUACCCAGAUUUAAAUGACUUUACACAAAACAGAUUGGGUUUUGAUUGCUGCAGGACUAUUUGGUUUUAUAUGUUGUGUUAUUUCCACUGAUGCAGCUCUGUGGGUUUCUUUCACCUUGAUUUAUUCUAUUCUCUGUUGGUUCUGUUUCUGGUGAAAUAACUUGAAAACAGACUGAAAACUAGUUUUCAUAAAUUCAACCAUUUUCAUUACUAACAGCUUUCUCCAGUUAAGAAUACAUCUGUAGUUCUAGUACAUUUGUAAGUAACCAAGUGACAUCACAGAUAUGGCCAAAGGUGUUUGCCACUCAGAAUUGUGAAUUUUUAUUUCUGUUUUCCACUCUAGAGAUUUUUUUCCCUAGAAAUGUAUUUUACUUUGGCUUGAAGUUACCUUAUGUAGUUUAGCCACAACAUAAGAAUGAUAACUGAGACAAAGUACUAGGUAGGAGAUGGAGAAAUGGAAUACAAUUUAGGCAUGAGUGGGGAGGGCCAUUUCUGUUUAUAGAUUUUCAAGAUGGAAAAUAAGAUUCUUUUUUUCUUAGCGUCCCAUUAAAAAAAAUACUACUGAGGAGAUUUUCUCCUGAGUGUCCACAGCAGCUUCAUCACCCAUCUGUCAGGAGGCAAAUCGCAACUGUGUGCUGCUUCUAUACUCCAACAUCACAAACCCAGUCAGCCUCAGGUCCUCAGGAGAAGGCGUGGGCAGGUCAAUGCAAUACAUGCAAGCAUCUUCUAGAACAAUGUCACGUGGUCAGAAACCCCUUAAAAUAAUGCCCAUGUAGCUAGGAUUAGAAUCCUAUAAGAUGGUAGCCUUGUCUACCUCCGGCUCCAGCCUUUAGGGCUGUAUAAGGAGGGGGCAGAGAGGGAAGGCAGUGACAAAUCUGGCCUGCAGCUUGGGGAUUGCUUCCGGGCUAGGGAGACCAGUGGAACACAAGAGGUAGGUCUGCCAGAGGGGACCACAUGGCAUGUGAAAGCCACCACAAGCCUCAGUCAAUCUAGGGAAUUCAAGACCACAUAUGACUUCAUCAGUAAAGUCAUCAUCAAGGAUAAAGUGUGUCCAACUUGACCUGCAUUUGACCCUUCAUGUCAUACCCUGAUUAUGAGUUAUGUUAGCAACCAGAGAAUGAUGCUGCUCACCAGAAAUCCCUUCCAGAGACAUUAGAGGCAGCAGAGGUAAGCAGGGCAAUACUGAUGCCAUGUUAUGCUGACCACUUUUCUCUAACGGGUCUGUCAUGCAUGUGAAACCUUCAGCAAUACACCAUAGUUCAUAAUUGUGUGUUUGUGUACAACUUAAUCUACACAUUGUCAAGCAUGUAAAAGAACAAGGAGUUUGGUACAACAAUCCAUAGCAACAACAAAAUGCAUUACCUUAUUGUUUAAAAGAGAAAACAGAAUUAAAAUGUGGGCUAAAAACCCUACAAUGUAGGAAGCAGCAUAACUCUGAUUAAAUCAUAAUCAUUCUUCUAAUUAUUUUGUGGGGUGUUAAGCUAAAGCUAGAGUGUUCUGUAAAAUUUAAGAUGCCAUGCAAGUGAGCGAGAAUAUAAAAACCACCAGUCUCCUGUCUAACCUAGAUUAAUAGCAUACAUGAUAGUAACCCUUAAUUUGAAUACCUGUAUUGCUAACUGUGAAGUGAAAACAAACAAGCCUCUUUUACAGCACUUACUUGCCUGUUUCAUACUGUAUAAUAGUAUUACACUACAUGCUAUUCUAACUUAUAAUAAUGCUAUACCAAGAACAAGUAUAGCAAUCUACAUUGAGUUAUGCAGCUUUGGUUUACAAUCUAAAACCUUAAUUAUAUAUGAGGGAAUUUACCAUAAUGUAAGACUUUUAACUUUAAGACUUAAGACUUUUGAUACUGUCUCACUGCAGUCUUAUAUUUUAAGCUAAGGCAAUAGCUUCAGCUAGACUGUGUAUUGAGGUAGUUGAAUUAUUGAUGGUUUCCUGAAUGUCUGUCCAAAGUUCAGUACUGUUUGAUAUCUACGUUCAUGAUGUGGGUGAUAGGAUGAUGUGGGUGAUGUGUACCUCUGGAUAAAUCUACGGACAGCACCAGGUUGGAUGGGGUAGCAGAAACUUUAAAGGAUAGGGUUAGGAUUCAAAAGGACCUUAUUAAAGUGGAACAGCUGUCUGAAAUAGAUGGGAUGAAAUUCAGUAAGGACAAGGGCAACAUUGACACUUAAGCAAGGGAUUAGCUUAGUUGAAAGGGACCUGGGGGGUUAUAGUGAAUCACAAGCUGAAUAUGAAUCACCGACGUAAUGCUGUUUGAGGAGAGAAGGCGGGGGAGAGGAAAAAACUGAAGAGAGUCCUAGGAUAUAUUAACAAGAGGGUUGUAUGCAAGUUGAGGGAAGUGACUCUUCCACGCUUUAGCAUAGGUAAGGCCUCUCCAGGAGUAUUACAUUCAGUUUUGGGCACCACAGUUCAAGAAGUAUGUGGGUAAAUGGGAGAGUCAAGAAGAGAGCAAAACAGUGGCGUAACUGAGGUGGGAACAACUGGGGCAGCAGCCCUGGGCAAAAUCUGUGGAGGGGGAGAAUAGCUGCUGUGCAGCUAGUGCCCAUGACACUUUUGACAGCACAACAGCUGGCGUGUCUCCUUGUGCCACUGCUGUCCGGGGUGUGGAGCUGCCUUGUCACAGCUCUGGCAAUAAGAAUGAUUAGAAGUGUAGGAAAAAUGACAUAUGAAGAAAAGAUGAAAGAAGUGGAAUUAUGUAAUCUACAGAAAAGACUAAUGAGGAUUUGAACACAGCCUUCAAAAUCUAAAAUAGUUUUUAUAAAAAGGAUGGCAAUCACUUGUUCUCUGUUUCCCACAAUGAACAGGGCAGGAAGUAAUGGGUUUAAAUUACAACAAUGGAGAUACAGAUUAGAAAUGAAGAAGAAACUUGCAACUCUGAGGAAGGAUAAGCAUUAUUGUAACAUCUCCUUGGGUAAAAUCUGUCACUAGAAUUUUUUAGGUACAGAUUGGAUGAACGUUUGUCUGGGAGUGGUGGACUAGGUGACUUUGACAUCUUUUCCAGCUCAAGUUUUCAAUGCCUCUGUGUUGCCAAGCAUAAAGCAUAAGUGUAUAUGUGCACAUUCACCUCUGUGCUAAAGUGUGUGUGUAUUUUAGGAAGUUCUAAAAAAAUAAUUAAAACAAUUAUGAAGAAAAGCUGGUAAAAAUAACUCUUUUGAAACAGAGGCUUCAGCAAAGCAGAAGGCAUAUAUGAUCCUCAGUUAAAACUUUUCAGUUAAAGGGGAAAUUUGCAAGUUCACAAUACAAUAUUCCCAGGCACAUCAGAAAUAUUUAAUAGCCAUGAAAAAUAUAGAAAAAACUCCAGAAGAAUAUUAUUUUCAAAGUAUAAAAAUUCUUUGACGUGCUUCUUGACUUGUUAAUCAGCUUCUGUAGUAUACCGACAUAUUCUUCCCUGAAAUCCAGAUACAAUCCAUGUCUGUAGCUGUACCCUGAUGUAACCCUUCAGUUAAUUGGAAGAACUUAAGCAAAAAUGUAAGGCAUUCCAUGUCCUUAGCCCUGUAGGAGGGAACAUUUAUUGUGGUUAAUUUUAACACUGCAACAUUUUGUCCUGUAUCACAACUGCUUUGAGAUGUAUGUUUUAAAGCUGCUUUACUAUACAGGAAGGACAGUAGGUAGAAAGAGCUUGAAUGCCUACUAUUCAGCUUUUGAAAAAUCAUCUAGGGAGUGUUCAUGCUUAACUUCUUUCCUUUCUUUAGAUUCCCAUUCAACCUUGUGUAUUUUUAUUUGACUGAAAUGUUGUAUUCUGAGCUCAAAAGAAUUACUGUUUGAGGAGCCACAUGGGUACUUAUAGCAUUUACUAAGUGUAUUGUCUCUGUUAUAGUGCCUGAAAAUCCAUAUUGCAUUAACCUUUUUUACCACACCAACAUCUGUCUCUUAAAACUGAAAUGCAAAAAACCUGUGAUUAGGAGGAAGAUGACCUAUAAAACUUGCAUUUAGUAUUUUUCAGGGAGUUGAGCAUGGUGGAAUUUAGAUCACAACUGAGCACUUAAGUCUAGUUAUGUGUCUAAUAGGUGCAUUAGAAACUGACCCUAUAUCUCUUUCAUUCUCUCCUCAUAAAUUAAUUACUUUUGUCUCUUCAUUGGCUAUUGUUGCUGCACUCUGGACUCCUUCCAGUUUCAAAGAAAUCACAGAGAAGUAAGGGUGGAAGGGGCCUCCAGAGAUCAUCUGGUCAAACCUCCUGUUGGAGUCAAGAUCAUCCCUAUCCAAAUCAUCCUCCGCAAAUCCAAAACCUAAUCUCUUAGUAAAACUAUGGUCAACCUUGAUACACCACAAGACAUAACACCCUAACCUGCUACAGGUGAAGCAAGGGGAACCUGGCAACCAACAUCUCACUUCUGGAAAAGGUUGUUAAUAUAUGCUCAAGAGAUGCCAAGUAGAGAGCCAUGCCCCCCACUACAGAGGAGGGCAAAAAUACCCACAGUCUAUAAAAAUUUGACCAUGGGGUAAAAUUUCUUCCUGAGCCCAAAUAUGGUGAUUGGUCUGACCAUGAAUGGAUGGGCAGGGAACCUCCAGCUUUAAGUCCCAGGAGGAGCAUUAGCACACCUGAGUCAGAAUUUGCAGCCUUGACUGCAGCCAACAUCCAGUGCCUCUGAGGAAAGCUUAACUCCCCACGCCCAUAAAACCUCCAAACUCCUACAUACUCACCAGACGCAUAUAGCAGAAAAGGGGGAAAAAAAAGGGCGGGGGGGCAGGGGGAUUCCUUCUCAGCCCCAUGCAGCAACCAGCAAAGCCCAGAAGCAUGGGAAAUAAUCAGAGUAGAAUAUUGACAUAGCUAUUAUGGUUGGAAGGGAUCUUAGGAGGUCAGAUAAUCUACUUCCUGCUCAAAGUAAGACUGUCCCUAACUAGAUCAUCCCAGCCAAGGCUUUGUCUAGCUGGGUAUUAAAAAUCUGCAAGGAUGGAGAGUCCACUACCUCUCUGGGUAGCCUCUUCCGGUGUUUUUCUAGUGAGAAUUUUUCUUAAUGUCUAAUCUAAACUUCCCUUGUGGCAGGGAAGAUCUGCAUCUGCAUCAGCAGUGGCAAUUUAUGUCAUCUCCCACCACUGAGAACAGUGUAGCUCCAUCUGCAUUGGAAGCCUCCUUCAGGAAGUGGAAGGCUGCUGUUAAAUCCUCUCUUAGUUUCCUCUUCUCCAGACUAAAUAAUCCCUGUUCCCUCAGCCUCUCCUCCAGAAGUCUUUUGCCCCAGCCCCCUAAUAAUUCCUAUUGCCCUCCCCUGGACUUGUUCCAAUUUGUCUGCAUCCUUUCUGUAUCUGGGGGCCCAAAACUGAACACAGUACUCCAGAUGUGGCCUCAUCAGUGCUGAAUAGAGGGGAAGGAUCACUUCCCUUGAUCUGCUGGCAAUGUUCUUACUAAUGCAGCCCAGCAUGCUGUUAGCCUUCUUGGCAACAAGGGCACACUCUCUUGGCUCAUAUUCAGCUUAUUCUCCACUGUACCCUCCAGGUCUUUCUCUUCAGAGCUGCUGCUUAGCGAGUUAGCCCCCAGCCGAUACUGGUGCAUGGGAUUGUUUCAUCCUUAGUGUAGGAUUUGGAACUUGUCCUUAUUGAACCUCAUGCGACUUCUUUUGGUCCAAUCCUCCAAUUUGUCUAGGUCUCUCUGAAUCCUAGCCCCACCCUACUACUUCCCCCAUCUUGGUGUCAUAUGCAAACUUGCUGAGGGUGCCAUGCCAUUUUCCAGGUCACUGAUGAAACCAGCCCCAGGAACGAUCCCAUGAGCACUCCACUUCAUAACAGCUGCCAACUAGAUACUGAGCCAUUGACUACUACCCUUUGAGCCUGAUGAUCCAGUCAAUUUUCUAUUCACUUUACAGUCCAUUCAUCCAACCUAGACUUCCUUAGCUUGCUUGUAAGAAGGUUGUCAGAGACUAUAUCAAUAGCGUUGCUAAUGUCAAGGUAGAUCACAUCCACUGCUCUUCUUGUGUCAAAUCCUCCAAUUUGUUGAGAUCUCUGUGAAUCUUAGCCCUACCGUCCAGCUUACCUACUACCCUCACAGCUUGUUGUCAUCUGCAAACUUGCUGAGUGUACACUCCAUCCCAUCUCCCAGAUUGAAGACAAUAAACAAAACUGGCCCCAGGACCAGCCAUCUAACCAUUGACUACUGCCCUCUGAGCCUGUAGAUCCUGCCAGUCUUCUAUCCCCCUUACAGGCCGUAUAUCCAACCCAGACUUCCUUAGGUAGUUUGCAAGAAUGUUGUGGGAGACUCUAUCAAAAGCCUUACUCAAUUCAAGGUAUAUCAAGCCCAUUGCUCUCUCCACGUGCACAGAGCCAGUCUUCUUGUCAAGAAGGCAAUCAGGUUGGUCAGGCAUGACUUGCCCUUGGUGAAUCAAUGCUGACUGUUCCUUAUUACCUUCUUCUCCAAGUGCUUAGAAAUGGAUUCCUUGAGGACCUGCUCCAUGCUUUUUCCAGGGACUGAGGUGAGGCGGACCAGUUUGUAGUUCCGUGGAUCCUCCUCCUUCCCUGUCUUAAAGAUGGGCACUUUAUUUGCCCUUUUCGAGUCAUCAGGGGCCUCUCCCAAUCAUCAUGAGUUUUCACAUCAGCCAGCUUCUUCAGCACCCUCAGGUGCAUCCUGUCCAGCUUGAUGGCCUUGUACAUGCCCAGCUUUUCUAAAUAGUCUCUUAACUGCUUUUUUGCCACUGUUCACUGCACACCUUCUCCCCAAAUUGUUCUUGGAAUUGUCCUGCCUGUGAAGACUUAAGUAAGUUGUGGGGGACUGACAGUGUCUGGGGGCAGUUGCCGACCCCUGGUUGGUGUUUGCCACUGGCCCCCCUCCCCCCGCCCCACCUCCUGCCCGCCACUGACAGCACCAGUGGUGUCUGCAGGAGCUCCUGCUUACCGCUGCUGUGCUCCCAUCACCGCUGUGCCCCCCCUAGCUGCUGGAGGCAUGCAUCGUUCAUGCCUUAGACUCCCUGUCAAAGGGAGGGGUGUGGCAAGCUGACUGAUGAACUGCUUGCAAACUGCCCUAUUUGCUGUCCCUUUUCUCUCGCUCCCUGUUCACUUGGGGAGUCUCCUUUUAUACCCUCCUGGGCCUGGACUGACUCCAUCCCCUUGUUAGGGCUUUUGUCAGGCACAGACAGCAGUCACACAGCAGUGACCCAGUUAGCAUUACUCCUAGAUGCUCAAAACACAGGCCUAAACACACAGCCCACCACAAAAAUGCUCAGUAAGCCAUGUAUAUAGACAGCCCUGGCUUACUUACCUUCCCAGAGCAGGAUCUGAUGCCUGGCACCUCUUCCAUUUAUUCUUCUUGCUCCCAGUGAACUGCCUUAAUUUCAUCCUGUUAGCUCCAGCCCACCUUUCCAAUCUGUCAAGAUCAUUCUGAAUUGUCCUGUCUUCCAGUUGUUCACCAUCCUUCCCAGUUUUGUGUUGCCUGAAAACUUGCUUGAAAAGCUUUCUAUGCUAGCAUCCAAAUAAUUAAUAAACAGAUUGAACAGCACUGGACCCAGGACAGUCCCCAUGUGGGACUCCACACAAAACAUCCUGCCAUUCUUGCAUGGAUCCAUUUAUAAUUACCCUUUGCUUGUGGCUAUUGAACCAGUUGUCUAUUCACCCUAUAGUACUGUCCAGCCAUUUUUUCAAUAACUACUUCAGUGCAAGCAGAUAAUGCUAACAUUCAGAAUUCAAAUUCAGUCAUAUAUGAGUCAAAGAUAGAGCCAAUUUUACACUUCUAUUUAUGCUUUUACAUGUAUGCUUUGGACUUUUUGUGCAGCCAUGUUGCAUUACAAUGUUAUGUUUGAUUUGUUGUCCAUGUCUUUCUCUGCCAGUAUUACUGCUUUCCAAGUUUUUUUACAUGGUAGAUAUUUGUAGCAGAUAAUAUCUUUAUACAUAAAUAUAGAUUACUGUAUUUACUCAAGUGCAAGAUGAGGGUUUUUUCUCCAGUGGGGAAAAAAACAACCCUUGUCUUAUAAUUGUAUAUGAGGAAUCCUCAUUAAAUACAUGGUCUAUCAUUAAACUGC
Molecule: long non-coding RNA, 10814 nt
Organism: Alligator mississippiensis (American alligator)
Lineage: Eukaryota; Metazoa; Chordata; Crocodylia; Alligatoridae
Exons: 2
Source: RefSeq, a predicted model, not a curated record